CUGCACUGAUGACACCUUAGGACACCUUUGAUGAACAUGAAAACAAAGUUUAAAUCUGAGCACC
Small nucleolar RNA from Anarrhichthys ocellatus (wolf-eel), 64 nucleotides. RefSeq annotates it as small nucleolar RNA SNORD58. The record is from RefSeq and is a predicted model, not a curated record. The transcript has a single exon. NCBI's taxonomy places the organism in Eukaryota, Metazoa, Chordata, Actinopteri, Perciformes, Anarhichadidae.